Molecule: long non-coding RNA, 2320 nt
Organism: Felis catus (domestic cat)
Lineage: Eukaryota; Metazoa; Chordata; Mammalia; Carnivora; Felidae
Exons: 3
Source: RefSeq, a predicted model, not a curated record
CACAGCAGAAAGGAGUCCGGGAAGGUACAGCUUCUGUUUCUUUCCUUCAGAGGAGGAAAUGACUUCCUAUGGCUAGCUGACCAGGAGUUAGUGCUCACCCCUGCCUCUUGCCAGGACCCAGAACGAGGACCUGGAGCAUACCCAGAUGAGGAUCAGAACGCAGCUUCAGCUCCUCCAACAAAUGAAACUGACAGAAUGAAACCUGAGAAACUUUAGCAACCAAAGAAAGCAGCCUUCCAAGGAUCAAGCUCGAUGCAAAUUAAUCCUUGAACUUGGAAGUCACAUUUGAAGAUGGAGGAGCCACAUACAGCAUAAAAAAAGUAUCUGAAUCAUUGCCCUGAGAAAAGUUAAAACAAGUUUUGGACUUGAUGAAAAAGAAAACAAACUUCUGUUGUGUUUAAACCAUUAUUCAUUUUGAGAUUUUAUUGUUACAAGAGCUAGUAUUAUAACUAAUAUAUUAUAGUUAUAGUUUUAACUCUUCCAAAUUGAGUAAAAUAAAUUGACUAUGGAUUGGCUGACCAUGCUGGGUCAGGAAAGGUCCAGCCAUUCCUUCAAUACUGUCAAAAAGUCAUUGGACAAUCUGAGGAGCAUAUGCAACUUCUAAAUAGCUUUCACAACAGGGGAUCAGGAUCUGAAUCCUUGUUCUCCCCUCCAGUCCUCUCAGGAAGGGCCAAAUUAACAGCAGGCAACAUGCAAUCAGACCAUGAGCACUGGUAGGGUGUGGAGAAAACUCAGUCAGCCCUGUGACUGUUGCUCUGCACUUCUGUCCUGCUCUCCUUCAUGGAGGACAAUGUACCCUAUUCUCUUAUUUGAUAAAAAGGGAAAACAGUACAAAUCAAAUAUUGUGACUCAAUCAGAUUAUGCACCACCCUUGCUCAGUGCUUUCUAAAACAGCAGACUUCAUUUUGUUACUGUAGAAAGCAAAGAGAGCUAUUAGCUCUCCUGGCGAAUAACGCCAAAUUAUUUGAUUGUUAUUGUCUCUCAUUCAGAAGAUUGGUUGUCAGAAGGAAAAGGUCUGAGUCAUGCUGUAGAAAAGGUGAACAGAGGAUAUGCAACCACCACCAAAAGGUGGCAGAGUGGAGAGGGAACAACUACUGUGGAGAGAGGGGAUCUCAGGUUUAUGAGCCCCUUCCCUCUGUCAAAUGGAGCCAACAAUGCCUUUCUACCCUUUCUCUCAGGAGGACACUGUGAAGACUUUACCAGUGUAAAGUGAAAGUACAUUCAGAUAUGAUAAAAAUAGUUAAUGAUUCCUGAGUAUUUCCAGUGAAGUUCUUACAUAUUGCUUGUUUAAUCUUCUGAACAAGCUUAUUACAUUAGUGUUAUUAAAAACUAGCCCCUCUUAUGAGAUAAGGAAACUGAGGCUCAAAGACAUUAAACAAAGCAGCAUCUCCAUGAUCAUCUAGGUGGCAAGGAGCAGAGCUGGGACUCGGAGACCUGAGAGUCGCCAAAAGCUCACAUCUCUAACCACCAUAGCCUUCCCGACUCUGUGCCAAUGAAAUGCACACAUCACAGUGAAUGGCACUUCUGCUGGAGAAUCUAGAAUGCCCAAAGCCAAGAUGCCUACCCUUGGCUCAUUCCACAGGCAGUGUCCUACAAGGUGGCUUGUACUCAGGCAUAUGAAGGGCCUGAGAAAAUAAUGAAACAGAUAGGAAAAAGGGAAGAACAAAGACUACUGUCUUGGGCUCCAGAGACUAGGCUGCCUAAACACAAUUCAUAAAGUCAUUCACGGACUCAGACCUCAUAGAUUUUGAAUAUCAGAUCAUUGAAUCUGACGUGAACUUCUAGAGAGAAAGCAUCCUUUCUUGCUGAAAACAGUUUCCCUUCUCCAGCACAGAAUCAUAAAGAAGAAAGAAUCUGAAUUUCUCCCUGCUUCCUGCUUGCCUGAAAGUUUCUUUUUUCCCUCAAACUCACAGUCCCAUUGUUUCUCUUAUUUCUUCUUAGUAUGCUCUAUUUAAACCAGAUGGAGCAGUAGCAUUUUGAAACUAGUCCCGAAGCCCAGGGGACUUGCAUCACAAAUAAAUAAACAAAUGAACAAUUCAGCAAUUGGUAAAUCAGGCAGAAUGAGUUUAACAACUGAGCUGGAAAAGUAGCUGAAAAUCUAUUCCCUGAUGAAAGAUCUGAAUGUGACCCAGGUUCUCUUCACCUAACAGGUAACCACACUGACUUCUUUCAGCAAACCAGGGACUGAACAGAGAAGCAGUGGGGAGGCAGUUAUGAACAGCUCCACAGAGAUAUUUGGUGGCACUCUGGCCACCCUGUAUUACCAGUAGGCUGAUACAUUAUCCCAUGGUUGCUAUGAAAUAUUUGUUCACCACCUAUA